Molecule: ribosomal RNA, 460 nt
Filed under: uncultured bacterium
Lineage: Bacteria
Description: partial 16S ribosomal RNA
Rfam family: Bacterial small subunit ribosomal RNA
Source: RNAcentral
CCUACGGAGUGCUGCAGUGAGGAAUAUUGGUCAAUGGGCGCGAGCCUGAACCAGCCAAGUAGCGUGAAGGAUGAAUGCCCUACGGGUUGUAAACUUCUUUUAUAAAGGAAUAAAGUGAGGCACGUGUGCCUUUUUGUAUGUACUUUAUCAAUAAGGAUAGGCUACCUCGAUGCCAGCACCGGCGGUAAUACGGAGGAUCCGAGCGUUAUCCGGAUUUAUUGGGUUUAAAGGGAGCGUAGAUGGGUUGUUAAGUCAGUUGUGAAAGUUUGCGGCUCAACCGUAAAAUUGCAAUUGAUACUGGCAGCCUUGAGUACAGUUGAGGUAGGCGGAAUUCGUGGUGUAGCAGUGAAAUGCUUAGAUAUCACGAAGAACUCCGAUUGCGAAGGCAGCUUACUAAACUGCCACUGACAUUGAUGCUCGAAAGUGUGGGUAUCAAACAGGAUUAGAUACCCGGGUAGUC